GACGAACGCUGGCGGCGUGCUUAACACAUGCAAGUCGAACGGAAAGGCCCUGCUUUUGUGGGGUGCUCGAGUGGCGAACGGGUGAGUAACACGUGAGUAACCUGCCCUUGACUUUGGGAUAACUUCAGGAAACUGGGGCUAAUACCGGAUAGGAGCUACUGCUGCAUGGUGGGGGUUGGAAAGUUUCGGCGGUUGGGGAUGGAUUCGCGGCUUAUCAGCUUGUUGGUGGGGUAGUGGCUUACCAAGGCUUUGACGGGUAGCCGGCCUGGGAGGGUGACCGGCGACCAUGGGACUGCGAUACGGCCCAGACUCCUACGGGACGCAGAAGUGGGGAAUAUUGCACAAUGGGCGGAAGCCUGAUGCAGCAACGCCGCGUGCGGGAUGACGGCCUUCGGGUUGUAAACCGCUUUCUCCUGUGACGAAGCGUGAGUGACGGUAAUGGGUAAAGAAGCACCGGCUAACUACGUG
This 468-nucleotide ribosomal RNA is filed under the name uncultured bacterium. Its description in RNAcentral is "partial 16S ribosomal RNA". It matches the Rfam family "Bacterial small subunit ribosomal RNA", at positions 28 to 507 of the family's 1533-position model. The record is from RNAcentral.